UGAAUCACGUUUGGUAAAUUCAAUCUUAAACCGAGAGGAAGUGUACGAGUAAAGAAAGUGUGCUGCGGUGGCGUGCCGGAGGAGGUAAAGGGUAAUUGGUGAGUGGAAUUAGCUAGAUACGGGCCCGAAUCAAUAGCGAUGUAGCGUCCCACUAUUGUGAGAUAGUGAUUAGCCUGGCGUGCAUUCAUCAGCAUUUUCAGCCCACUGCGGAUAGGUCAAGGCAUGUCAUAGCACUUUCUUUCGAGUCACUCCGCUGCUAGAGGUCGAGUCUUCAUAGAGUAAUUUGUUACGGGAUUAGACAAUAGUGUUAGAUUAAAUGUACAUUUGAAAAUUAUAAGUCUUGAUGUAUCAUUAUUACAAUUAUGUGGAAUAAAGGUUUA
Molecule: long non-coding RNA, 380 nt
Organism: Theobroma umbraticum
Lineage: Eukaryota; Viridiplantae; Streptophyta; Magnoliopsida; Malvales; Malvaceae
Source: RefSeq, a predicted model, not a curated record